This 397-nucleotide RNase P RNA is filed under the name Alphaproteobacteria bacterium. RNAcentral's name for it is "RNase P RNA component class A". It matches the Rfam family "Bacterial RNase P class A". Rfam says of the family: Ribonuclease P (RNase P) is a ubiquitous endoribonuclease, found in archaea, bacteria and eukarya as well as chloroplasts and mitochondria. Its best characterised activity is the generation of mature 5'-ends of tRNAs by cleaving the 5'-leader elements of precursor-tRNAs. Cellular RNase Ps are ribonucleoproteins. Lineage: Bacteria; Pseudomonadati; Pseudomonadota; Alphaproteobacteria. The record is from RNAcentral.
CCAGACGGCCGGAUGACCGCUGGCGCCGGCGGGACACCGCGGGCGCUGGAGGAAAGUCCGGGCUCCACGGGAACGCGGUGCCGGGUAACGCCCGGCGGGGGCGACCCCAGGGAAAGUGCAACAGAAAGCAAACCGCUCCCGCCUGCUUCGGCAGCGGGAGCAAGGGUGAAAGGGUGCGGUAAGAGCGCACCGCGCCCCCGGCAACGGGGGUGGCACGGCAAACCCCACCGGGAGCAAGACCGAAUAGGAGCGGCAGGCCGGCGGCAACGCCGGCCGGGCGGGUUUUCGCGCCGCCGCUCGGGUAGGUCGCGCGAGGCGCCCGGCGACGGGCGUCCCAGAGGAAUGGUCAUCCCCUGCUUGGCAGGGACAGAACCCGGCUUACAGGCCGUCUGGCGCU